RNAcentral lists this ribosomal RNA (248 nucleotides) under uncultured bacterium. RNAcentral describes it as "partial 16S ribosomal RNA". It matches the Rfam family "Bacterial small subunit ribosomal RNA", at positions 107 to 353 of the family's 1533-position model. The record is from RNAcentral.
UGAGUAACGCGUGGGUAACCUGCCCUGUACAGGGGGAUAACAGCUGGAAACGGCUGCUAAUACCGCAUAAGCGCACGAGGAGACAUCUCCUUGUGUGAAAAACUCCGGUGGUACAGGAUGGGCCCGCGUCUGAUUAGCUGGUUGGCAGGGUAACGGCCUACCAAGGCAACGAUCAGUAGCCGGUCUGAGAGGAUGAACGGGCACAUUGGAACUGAGACACGGUCCAAACUCCUACGGGAGGCAGCAUG